ACUACUACUUCACACUCCUAAAACCAUGACAAUCCUAGACAUACUAAACUGGGAAUGAGCCCCACUGAACUCAGUGGAACUUACUUUGAGAAGGCAUGCAGAAGACUGUGAAUUGGUAGCUGGAACUCCUUCUUGGAAACCUUAGCUCAGCCAUGAACUGGGGCAUCUAGACUGUAGUUCAAGCAAAUGCAACCACCGCGAGGCAAAGAGACAAAAGUCUAUGGCAUAUAAUAAAAGUGUACUGAUAAAGAAAAGAAACAGUGCUGAAGCAAGCAAUGUGAGGGGGACGAGACAGCUGGAAGAAGGACUUCUGCCUUACAUGGAUGGGACUUCCAUGGGUGGGAUUUUCCCAGAGACAGCAAAAGGCCCAGGAGGGCAAGGGGAAGAAGAGGAACAGAUGAGUGUCUUCAGCUGUCUCCAGGAAAGUACCCUCAGAAAUGGCAUUGUGUGCCAGAGAGGGCACAUGUGCCAUAGAAGAUGCAAGUGCAUAGAGUCUGCUCCUCCAGUUCCAGGUGAGAACUUCAGGAUCUGCAAAGUUUAACUGCAUUCUGCAUUAUCAGAUGGAGAUUGCUUCUCUCUGUUGGCUGAACCAGUACUACUCAAAGUGGUGGUGUUUGGACUGGAAUUAUUGGCCUAUGUGCCAUCAGCUGCUGGUCUGUAGAGAGAUUCCAGGAAAGAAAGAAACAGUUGUAGUCAAUGAGCACAAACAUAUCAGUCCCUGACACACUGGGGGGGGGGGGGACCAACCCUGCUGGUUCCUUAUAUCAAAUAACUUAGGAAGCACUGGGCUAAACUGCUUGAACUGGUGUUUGCAGGCUGAGGGUGAUGUGAAUGGACUACAGGAAAGAGCUGCUUCUCAUCUGACAGCAGAAUCAUAGAAUCAUAAAAACAGAGUUGGAAGUGACC
Sceloporus undulatus (fence lizard) is the source of this 906-nucleotide long non-coding RNA. RefSeq lists it as uncharacterized. The transcript is spliced from 3 exons. NCBI's taxonomy places the organism in Eukaryota, Metazoa, Chordata, Lepidosauria, Squamata, Phrynosomatidae. The record is from RefSeq and is a predicted model, not a curated record.